GAUGAACGCUGGCGGCGUGCCUAAUACAUGCAAGUCGAGCGAACAGACGAGGAGCUUGCUCCUCUGACGUUAGCGGCGGACGGGUGAGUAACACGUGGAUAACCUACCUAUAAGACUGGGAUAACUUCGGGAAACCGGAUCUAAUACCGGAUAAUAUAUUGAACCGCAUGGUUCAUUAGUGAAAGACGGUUUUGCUGUCACUUAUAGAUGUAUCCGGGCCGCAUUAGCUAGUUGGUAAGGUAACGGCUUACCAAGGCAACGAUGCGUAGCGGACCUGAGAGGGGGUUCGGCCACACGGAACCGGGAACCGGGCCCAGACUCUAAGGGGGGGCAGAAGUGGGAAAUGUUCCGAAAGGGGGAAAGGCUGAACGGGGCAACGCGGGGUGGUGAAGGAAGGUUUCGGGUUGGAAAAACUCUUUUAUUAGGGAAAAAGAAAUGUGUAAAUAACUAGGCUGGUUUGACGGGAACAAAAGAAGAAGCCCAGGGCAACCUCCG
This 495-nucleotide ribosomal RNA is filed under the name uncultured bacterium. RNAcentral describes it as "partial 16S ribosomal RNA". It matches the Rfam family "Bacterial small subunit ribosomal RNA", at positions 28 to 505 of the family's 1533-position model. The record is from RNAcentral.